RNAcentral lists this long non-coding RNA (23820 nucleotides) under Theobroma cacao (cacao). RNAcentral describes it as "long non-coding RNA (TCAC_LNC002164)". The record is from RNAcentral. Lineage: Eukaryota; Viridiplantae; Streptophyta; Magnoliopsida; Malvales; Malvaceae.
UUCUUCAGUAACAAUAAAUGUUUUUUUUUAGAAGGCAGUAUGCUUAAAAGAUAGCUGUAUUUCAUUUUGAGUCCUUUGUGUCACUCAUAAUUAUUUUCUCUAUAGUUUUUUUGUUCCACAAUUUUGAUGGAACUUAGAUGUAGGGUAUACUUGCUACCGCAGGAUCCAAUUAAUCUCGUCUGUUGAAGCGUGGAUUAUUUAGAAAGUAUUGAUACUUUGAUGCAUUGUGACUCUUCACGUGGCUUCUAGUGUUUUAUUUAUGUUACCAAGCAAUGUACCGUGAUUUACUAGUGUUUUAUAUAUGUUAUCAAGCAGUGUACCAUGAUGUAGCUGGGUGUUCGUUAUUUUGUGUGAAAUCUCUGCCUAUUGAAUGAAAUGAUUAAAGUAAUAUCCUGAUUCUUGACGUAUAAAGGCUUUUAUUGGUAAUUGAUCUACUGUGGAGGAUGAAGGAGGAAUAAACCUUUAUAGAUGUGUUAUGCCUUUAUUGAACAUUAGCUCUUCAAUCUCUAUCAUAUGCCCCUCUUUCCACUUCCACACCAACAAUGGUUCUAGGUUCUGCCUGUUACUCGUACAUUUCUCUACAAGUGUGUUCUGGAAUAGAAAAGUAUUUGCUUGUUUGUAUUAUGAUCUCACCACCUUUGCCAUCAUUGCUCUUUCUGUCCACCCUAAAAUCUGCAACGAGAGACACUUGGAAGCUAUUGUUGUUUGUUUGACUCUGUGGUCAUUUGCUUUACACCUUGCAUUUGCUUUUGGUUCUUCUGUUAAGUUUUCUGGGGUUUGAGAAUGACCAAAGAGGAAUCUUAGAUAGUGGUGUUCGUUGUUGCAAAAAAUUAUCAGUUUAGCUCCCUUAUUACAUUACCUUUUGCAACUCCCUUUAUCCUAAUCAUCACAAAUGUGGGAAGGAGAUUCUAAGUCGAAAAUGGAUUUUGGAUAUAGAUCAUUGAUGUAUUUUGGUCCCAAUUCUCAACAAUAUCUAUUCCAUUAUUUGCUCCAAGUGGCAAGGCUUGUUAAUGGAGAGUGAUCUCAUUAUUGAAGCCAAUAAAUGUGGUGGUCACUAUCUCUCUCUCUCUCUCUCGCCUAUCUUUCUGAAAUGUGAAAGUAUCAAUCUAAUUUGAACCUAGUAGUAAUACGUGUUUGGAGAGAUCCAAUUUUUUGUCCAAAUUUUAUUUUAAUUUAUAAAAUAUUUUCUAGCUUCUCUUAUAUGUUGUUUGCUGCUACAGUAUUUGCUUGAGUUGAAGGAUGACCAGAGAAGCUGAGAACAGUGUGUACUUUGUUCAGGGAGCAGAGGCAUGGGACUGAGAAUCAUAGUCAAGGAUAUGCUGUCUCAGCACGUGUAUCAGUCAUUUGUAGCACAAAGUGUAUCUUGGGAUCAAUAAAUUUUAGUAUUUUAUUUGUUUAAACACCAAUUAAUUGCAAUUAAAAUUUUGUUUUUUUUUUUUUUGUUCAUUUUCAUCCUUUCUUCUUCUCUUCUUUCCCCAUGUUUGCUUCCUGUACUUGUUACUUUAGUACCUAAGAGUAUUCACAUUGAAGCCAUGAUAAGCGGCUGCUGCUAACCUACUAUGCUUCUUCCUCAAUCUUUUUUCUAUGGUAUUGACAACCCAACGUGCCCUACAAUCACCAAAUGGAAGACCAGGAAGAAGAGCCACCUACCCACUUCACAAAUAAAAUACAUCUGGAAUUUAUGCGCACUUAUCCUAUAGAGAAAUCACACUUCUACUCUUGUUUCCCACACAUGCCGACAUCAAUACAAACGUGCCAAGACUUAAAAAAAUGGGAAAUUCAAGACCAAUUUGCUAUACAAAACCGGCAAAACAGAAAAAAUAAUAGUGCUCUCACCCCUAAUUUUUGAAGUAUUAUCUUAAAAUUGUCCACCACCAAUGACAGUUCUGGAGAGCUUUGCUUUGUUCGUACUGGUUUGACAGUCGGGAUAGUGCGUUACAACCCACUAAAGUGAUGGCUUUUUGUUGGUUAACGCAGCUGUUACUAAAUUUAGUACAUGGCUUUUCCCUUCUUCCGAGUCAACAAAACCUAUCAGCUUAUCAAAGAUGAUGCGUGCUAGUUUAAAUUUGAUAAACCGGAGUUCGUGUUGGUGGGAUUUUUCCAAUAAGCUUUUGAUAUUUGACAAAAACAAGUAAUUCUUUCACAAGUAACUGUUACGUGAAUAAUCAUCAUGAGAGGAAGUUUCAAGUUUGUCAAAGGAAUAUAUUUUAGAAUUUAAAGAGUUGAAUUCUAAAUCCAGCUAAAUAUCCGAAAACAUGUGAACUUAAACAUGGGAAAAUCAAAACUUUUGUUUUUUCAAGAAUGGCAAACUGUUUUUCAAUAAUUAAUGAGGUAAGUAAAAGAUCUCCAGUGCAUUGGAACUUCAGGUUUUGAAGGUGUAAAGGAGUAAUACUUCCUAUGGUUUGAAACAACUUAACCAUGUUUAUUUUAUGAUGAAAGAUUGGAGAGAAAAGAAAUUAAAAGCCUACUUUUUUAACAAGGGCUCGAUUCCUGUUCAAUUUUGUUCAUACUUUUUAUUGUUUUAAGUUCAGUUUAACUUUGUUUGUUAUCUGUUUUCCAUCCAAAUGAUUCUUUUUCUCAAAUUCUUCAAGCUGAGAUCUUCUUCAUUUGAUGCAAUAUCUAAGACUCUGACGCCUCAAGCUCUUUAUAGGAAUAGAAAAUGAAAACUUGAUAGGUGAGGGAUGAGGAGAUAUUGAGAAAAAGGAAUACAAAAAAUCUGCUUCUCCAGUCUUAAUUCUUUAAUGCUUCAAACCCAAUAGCAUAAAAAAAUCAAAGUUAGUACCAAAAGUAGAGUAAUAAUUCACGCGUAAACUUUCAGAAUCGACCCUGAAGAUACACGAAGCUACCAAAAAGUGAAGGGAAUGUUGACAAAAGUUAGGCAGAACAUUUGUCAAUAGAAUACAUAUCCAGAUUCAAAGAAGGGUCUUACGGGGGUCAAGAACGGGGUCUACACAUGUAUACACAUCAUUCAUCUCAAUCCUACCGCCUUAAGACCCUUUUUCGGACUGCCUACUACGAAUUAGUGGAAGAAAAGAAGCGAAAGGUGUAGCAAUUUGCUCAACCGCAGCCUCUUGCCUUCGGCUAUAAAUAUCGGAUUCUGAUUUCUUAGCUUCCCAUCUCUCACAAGCUCAUCUAACUUCUCUCCUCUCUAUCUUCUAAGUUAUCUUUCUCUUUUCUUGGUUACGUUAUUCUCUUUGGUACUGCUAUAAACUUUGUAGCAGAAAGAUGGGGUUCUCAUUAAAAUUUCGUUACUGCCUUGUGUCUGUCAUGGUGCUCUUGCCUGCACUGUGUUACUCUCAGGACUAUUUCGUCCGGUCCAGAGCAACAUACUAUGGCAGUCCUGACUGCUUAGGGACUCCUAGUAUGUACAUUUCUCCUAUGAUACAUGCAUGUUUAUUUAUUUAUUACAAUUAAAGUUCACAAGUGGAUAUUGACCGUGAUUUUAAACCUUCAAAUUCACUUAAGGAUGUUCAUCAUGUCAUACAUGAGCUAACAGUUAUGUGAAUUUAGGUGGAGCUUGCGGGUUCGGAGAAUACGGAAGGACUGUCAAUGAUGCGAACGUGGCUGGGGUUUCCAGGCUCUACAAGAAUGGAACUGGCUGCGGUGCUUGCUAUCAGGUAAAACUUCAGGCCCCCUAAUCAUUUCAGCUCUGAAAGCGACAGGUAAAGCAAGGACGAAGCUACCAAAGUGAUGAGCUCGGCAGAAAUUUCCGCAAAAAUAAACUAAUUUCGGCAAUAACCUUUAGAAUAGUAUAUAUUUCUCACUUGCUAAAAGCAUUUCUAGUGUUCAACAUGUGACCCUACUGCUUAAAACUAAUUAAAGUUUAAUUAUUAUUAAUUGCUAAUUUGGCACUAAUCUAUAAACCACAAGUGGCUUCUUAUUUUAUGUUGCUAGCUAAUCCAUGACACUUCCUUUUUUGCUUAAUUAAACAAACUCAGGUUAGGUGCACGAACCCUCAACUGUGUGAUGAUAACGGGGUGAACAUUGUGGUGACUGACUAUGGCGAAGGAGACCACACCGAUUUCAUCCUGAGCCCCCGUGCCUACACAAGGAUGGCGCGAUCAAACACUGCCGCGCAGCUGUUUGCUUAUGGCGUAGUUGACGUGGAAUACCAGAGAAUCCCCUGCGGCUACGGUGGUAAAAAGCUCCAGUUCAAGGUUCAUGAACACAGCAGAUACCCAAGCUACUUGGCCAUCGUAAUCUUGUACCCAGCUGGCAAAAACGAAAUCCAAGCCAUUGAAAUUUAUCGGGUAAAUUUUACUUAUUUAUCACAAAAUUCUGACCCCUUGAAGUACGGAAAUCGUACAUAUUGUUACAUAAUUAUGCAUUUGGUGUGUGAGCAGGAGGAUUGUAAGCAAUGGAUAGGAAUGAGGAGGGCGUAUGGGGCAGUUUACGACAUGGCUAAUCCGCCACAGGGGUCUAUCAGCUUGAGGUUCCAAGUGAGCGGCAGCGCCGGUUUGACAUGGGUGCAGGCACCAAACGCUAUCCCCAGCAAUUGGGAAGCUGGAGUUGCAUAUGAAUCAGAUAUUCAGCUUGAGUAAAGUAGCAAAUUUUAGAAGGAAAAAAAUCAGACUACUUGUAUUAAUUCCUUAAUUAUGUAGUUGCUUUAUGAUGUCGCUAGUAAGACAGCAAAGUGCUCGGAACUUUGCCCUGUGCUCGAUAAAAUAAAAAGUUGUUAUAUGUACUUUUGCUUCAUGAGUCAAUAGAGUUACACCUUUAGAGUAUUUUUCCUUCCACUGAGUUUAUUAUCAUGAUGACGACGUCUUAUAGUAAUUGAUAGUGUUUUGUUUUCACUAUUUUUCGUAAUCAUUAAUAAAAAAUACUACAUUUCAAAUCCAAAUCUUUACUUCCAUGUGUUUAACUAAGUCUCAAUCUCAUUCACCUUUAUCACUUCAACUAAUCUCUAAAUUAUUUAAAAUUUCUUAAAUAAAUUAUUAUUUAUUUAUUUCAUUCUAUUAAAUUUUUAUAUAUUUAUUUUUAAAUCAAAUAAAUUUUUACUUAUUUUUUAUUUUAAAUCAAACAAAAUUCUAUGUCUAAUGAUUAAUUUAUUGUUAUUAUCAAAAUAUCAGUUAUCGUUACAUUUUACAUGAUAUUAAUGAUAUAUUGACAUAUUAUAAUAGAUGAUGACAUAAUAUGUUAAUAUGAUAUGAUAUGAUAUAUAAACACGUAAUAUUUUUUACUUUUCAUGUCAACACCACAUGAGCAUAAAAUAAUAAAUAACAUUGUAACUGACGACAAUUAAUCAAUUAUUAAUCAUAAAAAUUUAUUUAAUUUAAAAUAAAAAUAUAAAACUUUAUUGAAAGCAAUAAAAAAUGAACAUUUACUUAAAUUCUCUUGAAUAAUUUUAAAAAAAAAAUUCAAGUAUAUAUGACUUUCUUUGGUAAUAAAACUGAUUGUUUAUGUCAUUAAAUUACGUGUUUCCAGCUGCGUAAUUAUUCCUACUUCUCAUCAGCUACUUAUAGGAUGAAACAUGCUUUACCGGAUCAGGAUGUUCACUGAAACUGUUUCAAAACAUAAAAUGGGCAUGUAAGAUGAUAGAAGAUAAACUAAGUGAAGGUUUGAAGAAGCUCCCCAAAAUUUAGAAAAAUAUGAGAAGCAUUAACUUGUUUCAACUUCUUAAAGAAUUCAAUAUAACAAGGCAAUCGAAAGCUCAGAAGUUACAAAUAUGAUUUAAUGUUCAAGGUGGAAAACAUAUUCCGUCAGGCACUGCAAUUUGCCAGGAUCUAAUUUUUGCUCUCUCACAAUAGCCUGCUUCUUCACAGUUAGCAUUUGAGAAACAGGAUCGACUGUCCAACCUUGCCGUAGUGCAUCUGCAUGUGAAACAUCCAAAAUCAACAACAUUAAUAAAUACAACCAAUAUUGUUGUAUCAACAACCCAAAAGAAAUUGUGAAUAGUAUAGCACACACUAAUUUAAGUAGACAAUUCUAUUAACAAUACAAAAAGUGGAACAUUCAGCUCCAAAAAGGGUUAACAGUAAAAGCCAGUUUGGCAAGCCUACAAACAGCAAAAUUCCAUGUUUUUCAAUGGGAAUUUAGCUUUGUAUGGCCAUCGAUCUUGUUCCAUAAAACCAAGAACUAUAUAAGAAAUUGAAAAAGUAGCUUUCCUUUGCCAAACUUGUUCAGAGUCUCGAGAUUUAUACAUUUUGCAUGUACAGGGAGCACAAAUGUUCGAAUAUCUGGAAAGGCAGAGGACCAGAGGUUUCAAAGUCAAGAAAUGUAGACUCUACUCAAACCAUAAGAAGCAAAAGCUUCAACAUUGAUUCACUGAUUAUAGAUAUAAACCAGACAUGUCUCCAGCUUGCAAUCAGGGAGUUAAACAUCUAUAAAGGAGACUUCAUUGAUUCAGAAUAUGAUAUAUCCUUCUGAUUUCAUAUAUUUAUGUUUACACUAUAAAGACUCAUAUGGUCUCAAAAGAAGCUUAUCACAAACAUCUAAAAGCAAAUAAAAUAAUAGAAUAUUCACAGUAUAAACAUAACAAGGAAUGUGUGUACUUACAAUUUGUGGCAUCAUCCUCACUCAUUCCAAGAAAUUGAGCUGCAUCUUGGAUGCUUAUCGUUGAAUAAGCAGAUAGCAGCAGUCCAAACAUCCUCUUAGUGUAAAGCUCUACAAAAAGGACAGCAAAUAAAUGAAAUAAUGACCACAACUGGUAUAUUGCCUAAAUCUUUUACGGACAUUCUAUAAUAUUGAGUGUUACUUAAUUUUUACAUGUUUUCACUCCUUCAAUUUCAAUGCAUCUCAGUCAAAAUAAGCAAUUCAACUAUCAUUGUUUCUGUACUGAACCAUAAUGUUUCAAUUAGAUAUUACUUUUUAUAAUUAGCUCCUUUUUUUCCUUUUAUUGAUUUAAUUCAGGUUUCAUUUUUUAACAUAUUUUUUAUUAUCUACCUAAUAACACUUAAAAUAUUGUAAAAAGCUAUGGUAGAGAAAGCAUGCCUGAGAAAGAAGCAACAAGAACUUGUGUUUCUUGACUCCAAUCAAAGCCACGAAUUGCGUCAUAGACACCAGCAUAGUCCCUUGUCCACAGCUUCUGACCUAUUUUCCAGGCUGCAACCAACUCCGGUUGGCUCUCCUUGAUUGCUGCAGGUAUUGAUUUCCAAAGAAACCUUGCACUAUUACUGCAAAACCAUUCCCUUCAAACAUCAAAUCCCAAACUAAACAAAUGUAAACGAAAACAACAUUUACUCCCAAAAAAAGCAUUUCCCAUAAUCACAUAUAAUCCCGUAUAUAUAACUUAUUAAUUAAAAAGAAUAAAUGGGACUUACAUAUCAUCGACGUAGAUGUGGCCGAGAAGAUGAAUUGCGAAAGGCCACUCGUCUUGAAAAGCAACGCCUUCCGCUGCUACCUGAUUUUUUUUUAUAAAUUCGAAUUAGGGUUUCGAUAGGGUUUUGGGAAUUCUAAAGGAAAACACUUGAACUAUCUAAAAAUUAGAUGAAACAUCACACACACAAAAAAAAAAGGAAAAUAAAAGAUCAAAAGGAGAGAAAAGAGAGAAAGUACCUGAAGCAUGAGGUUGUCGCAUAUAUCAGCGAUCCUGUCGAAGGAUUUGGAAGCCAAUGCUCCAUUCAGAACACUAAAAUCCAUCUCUUCUCUUCUGCUUUUACUCUUUCGAUUUUCUUCUCUUCUGCUAUUACUCUGUCAGAUCGUUUUCUGUGGGAGGUUUUCUUCUUGUUUCUUUUUGGUCCCUUCUGAGCCCUAUUCCAUGGGCCGAAAAAUUAAAGCCCAUUUAAAUUCGUGGCGUCAAAAGAUCCAACCUUGAAAAGCCCAUCUUUGUCCACACGAAAUUCAACUUGGAUGAGCCUGCCCAAAGUGUCCCGGUAGUGCCGGUAUUGAGAGCGUCUUGACUCUUGAGGGAUGAUACAGGGACGUCAAAAGCUUUUUCUUGCCCAUUUUAUUUUAAUAUUUUUUAUUUUAAUUAAAAUAUUAUAAAAUAUUUUUAAUAAAAUAAUAAAAUUAAAGAGUAAAAAUAUUUUUAAAAAUAUUAUAAAGUAUAAUAUAAUGUGAUUACAUUACAAUCUUACAUUAUAAUGAUCUGUUGUAAAAUAAAUACUGUAAUAUAAUUUAAUUGGACACAUUACAAAAAAUGUGCUUUCACUUUUCUUAUACCAAACGCUACUUUAAGGUACAGGGUGAGAGAUUCUAACCAACGGAAAUAAGGGCCAUUAGAGAAGUUUUAAUUGGGUUUAUUGCUUCCAAAUGGGGCCAUAGGUUGGUUAUUGAGAGCCAUUCAAUGAAUGCUGUCAAAUGGGUGAACAGUCCAGCGGAAGCUCCUUGGAGAUUUAGGAAAAUGGGAUGUUAUCUAUGGCUUUAGGGAAAACAAUCAAAUGGCUGAUAACCUCGCGAAGGAGGGAGCUAUUCACCAGAGAGAUCUCAUUAGCAUUAUGAAGGAGUAGGGGUAGUCAGGGGUUUCUUGAGGGGAUUUUUGGUAAUGUAAAUAGUGCUAAUCACAAAAACAGGGAUUGGGAUUUUCUUUUGUAAACGUUGGGAGAUGGAUGGAGUUUUUUUGUAUUUUUUGAUUGGUUAUGUGGUUUGAGACUAAUGUGCGUUUCUUGCUAACGCAUUGAAGUCUCAAACCAUGUAUUGUUUUGGGAGCUAUGUUUUCCCUUUCUAUUAAUGAAAUCGUCUUUCAAAAAAAAAAAAAACAAAUAUUAGAAGGAGAUUCUAAGUCGAAAAUGGAUUUUGGAUAUAGAUCAUUGAUGUAUUUUGGUCCCAAUUCUCAACAGUGUCUAUUCCAUUCCAUUAUUUGUUCCAAGUGGCAAGGCUGGUUAAUGGAGAGUGAUCUCCUUAUUUAAGCCAAUAAAGCUGGUGGUCACUCUCUCUCUUUCUCUCAAUUUUUUUAUGCCUGUCUUUCUGAAAUGUGAAAGUAUCAAUCUAAUUUGAACCCAGCAGUGAUACGUGUUUAGAGAGAUCCAAUUUUUUGUCCAAAUUUUAUUUUAAUUUAUAAAAUUAUUUUAUAGCUUCUGUGAUAUGUUGUUUGCUGCAACAGUAUUAGCUCGAGUUGAAGGAUGACUGGAGAAGCUGAGAACAGUGUGUGCUUUGUUCGGGGAGCAAAGGCAUGGGAAUGAGUUGAAGGAUAUGCUUUCUUAGCACGUGUAUCAGUCUCAUUUGGCGCACAAAGUGUAUCUUGGGAUCAAUAAAUUCCAGUGUUUUAUUUGUUUAAACUCCAAUUAAAAUUUUGUUUUUUAUUUUUUUAUUUUUCAUUUUCUUCCUUUCUUCUUGUCUUCUUUCCCUAUGCUUGCUUCCUACUAGUUACUUCAGUACUUAAGUCUUUUCACAUUGAAGCCAUGAUUCAAUAGUUAAUUGAUGACCAGAGUCAUAAAGCCAUAAUUAGCAGCUACUACUAACCUACUAUGUUUCUCCCCCAUUCUUUUUUCCAUGGUAUUUACAACCCAAUGUGCCGUACAAUCACCAAAUGGAAGACCAAGAAGAAAAGCCACAACCCACUUCAGAAAUAAAAUACUACUGGAAUUUAUGCACACGUAUCCUACAGAAAAAUCACACUUGCACUCUUGUUUGCCACAUGUGUCGACAUCAAUACAAACGUGCCAAGAUUUCAAAUGAAAAAAAUGGGAAAUUCAAGACCAAUUUGCUAUAUAAAACCUGCAAAACAGAAAACUUAAGAGUGCUCUCAAGUCUUAAAAUUUUCCACCACCAGUGACAGUUCUGAAGACCUUAGUUUUGUUCUUACUGGUUUGACAGUCGUGAUAGUGCGUUACAACCCACCAAAGUGAUGGCAUUUUGUGGAUUAAUGCAGCUCGUACUAUUUAGUCGUGUUGAUGGGAUUUUUCCAAAUAGCUUUUGGUUUUUGACUAAAAACAAGCAAUUCUUUCACAAGUACCUGUUACAUGAAUAAUCAUAUUAAGAGGAAGUUUCAAGUUUGUCAAACGAAUUUAUUCUGGGACUUGAAGGUUUGAAUUUUAAAUCCAGCCAAACAUCCGGAAACAUAUAAACUUAAACAUGAAAAAAUCAUAACUUUUGUUUUUCAAAAAUGGCAAACUGUUUUUUAAUAAUUAAUAAGGAAAGAAAAAAGAUAUUCAGUGCAUUGGAACUAUAGGUUUUGAAGGUGUAUAUGACUAAUAGUUCCUAUAGCUUGAAACAACUUAACCAUGUUUAUGUUAUGAUGAAUUUUUGUAUAGCAAGAACAGAGGAAAUAUAAGGCAAGAAAAACAGAACUUUAUCAAUCAAAAACUCUCAAAAGCCUACUUUUUUAUGAUGGAAGAAAUAAGAAGCCUACUUUUUAACAAGUGCUCGAUUUCUGUUCAAUUUGGUGCAUGCUUUUUAUUGUUUUAAGUUCAGUUUAACUUUGUUUGUCAUCUGUUCUCCAUCCAGCUGAUUCUUUAUUUCAAAUUCUUCAUGCUGAGAUCUUCUUCAUUUGAUGCAAUAUCUAAGACUCUGACGCCUCAAGCUCUCAAGACGAAUAGAAAAUGAAAACUGCUUUGUCUUGAUAGGUGAAGGAUGAGGAGAUAUCUAGAAAAGAGAAUACAAAAAAUCUGCUUCUCUAGUCUCAAUUCUUUAAUGCUUCAAACACAAUAGCAUAAACAAAAUCAAGUUAGUACCAAAAGUAGAGUAAUAAUUCACGCGUAAACUUUCAGAAUCGACCCUGGAGAUACACGAAGCUACCAAAAAGUGAAGGGAAUGUUGACAAAAGUUAGGCAGAACAUUUGUCAAUAGAAUACGUAUCCAGAUUCAAAGAAGGGUCUUAAGGGGGUCAAGAACGGGGUCUACGCAUACGUAUACACACCAUUCAUCUUAAUCCUACCGCCUUGGCACCCUUUUUCGGACUGUCUACUCCUAAUUAGUGGAAGAUAAGAAAAAAAAGGUUUAGCAAUUUGCUCGACAGCAGCCUCUUGCCUUCUGCUAUAAAUAUGGGAUACUGAUUUCUUAGCUUCCCAUCUCUCACAAGCUCAUCCAACUUCUCCCCUCUCCAUUUGCUAGGUUAUCUUUCUCUUUUCUUGGUUAUAUUAUUCUCUUUGGUACUGCUAAAAGCUUGGUAGCAGAAACAUGGGGUUCUCAGUAAGAUUUCGUUGUUGCCUUGUGUCUGUCAUGGUGCUCUUGCCUGCACUGUCUCUGUGUUACUCUCAGGACUAUUUCGUCCGGUCCAGAGCAACUUACUAUGGCAGUCCUGACUGCUUAGGGACUCCAAGUAUGUACAUUUCUCCUAUGAUACGUGCAUGUUUAUUUAUUUAGUAGUAUUUAGUAGUAAUAUUAAGUGUCAUCGUCACGAUUUUUAAAAUUAGCAAGUGGAUAUACUUAUUCUUGAGGUCCUUGACUGUGAUUUUAAAUCUUACUGCCUAUGCAAUGCUCAUAUGUCAUACAUGAGCUAACAAUCAUGUGAAUUUAGGUGGAGCUUGCGGGUUUGGAGAAUACGGCAGGACUGUCAAUGAUGCGAACGUGGCUGGGGUUUCCAGGCUCUACAAGAAUGGAGCUGGCUGCGGUGCUUGCUAUCAGGUAAAACUUCAAGCCCCUUAAUUAUUUCAACUCUGAAAGCGAUCACAGGUAAAGCAAGGAGUUAUGGGUUCGGCAGAAACUUCCGCAAAAUCAAACUACUUUCCACUCAACCUUUAGAAUAGUAUAGUGUUUCUAGCGUUAAACAUGUGCCCCUACCGCUUAAAACUAAUUAAAAGUUUUCAUUAUCAUUAGUUGCUUUGGCACUGAUCUAUAAACACAAGUUGCUUCUUAUUUUAUGUUGCUAGCUAAUCCAUGACGCUUGCUUUUGCUUAAUUAAACAAACUCAGGUUAGGUGCACGAACCCUCAACUGUGUGAUGGUAAUGGGGUGAACGUUGUGGUGACUGACUAUGGCGAAGGAGACCACACAGAUUUCAUCCUGAGUCCCCGUGCCUACACAAGGAUGGCACGAUCAAACACCGCCGCGCAGCUGUUUGCUUAUGGCGUAGUUGACGUGGAAUUCCAGAGAAUCCCCUGCCGCUACGGUGGUCACAAGCUGCAGUUCAAGGUUCAAGAACAAAGCAGAUACCCAAGCUACUUGGCCAUUGUAAUCUUGUACCAAACUGGCAAAAACGAUAUCCAAGCCGUUGAUAUUUGGCGGGUAAAUUUUUACUUAUUUAUCACAAACUUUUUACUCCUUCUUGAAGUACCGAAUCGUACAUAUAGUUACAUUAUUAUGCGUUUGGUGUGUGAGCAGGAGGAUUGUAAGCAAUGGAUAGGAAUGAGGAGGGCGUAUGGGGCAGUUUUCGACAUGGCUAGUCCGCCACAGGGGGCUGUCAGCUUGAGGUUGCAAGUGAGUGGCAGCGCGGGCUUGACAUGGGUGCAGGCACCAAACGUUAUCCCCAGCGAUUGGAAAGCUGGAGUUGCGUAUGAAUCAGAUAUUCAGCUUGAGUAAAGUGCGUCAGGCUUGCACUACUAGAAACAAAUAAGAAAUUUUAAAACGCAAAAAUCAGACUACUUGUAUUAAGUCCUUAAUUACAUGGUUGCUUUAUGAUGUCACUAGUAAGACAGCAAAGUGCUUAAAACUUCGCCUUGCGGUCGAUAAAAUAAAGAGUUGGUUAUGUGUACCUUUGCUUUUUUUUUUAACAUUAAUCAUCAUAGACUUUCAUUCAAACUGGGAUGAACCUAGUAAAAAAAGGAACAGAACGGUCAAGAGUUAAAAGAGAACCAAGUUACACCAUACAAGCAACAAAGAAUUGCACCCAGCCCCAAUCAAUUUUCAUCCUAACCAAGAAAGAACUAGCAAAAGGCAUCAGUAAGAUCAGGAAACAGGACCAAAGACACUGUUCCCUAUUCUUGCUGUUCACAAAAUCCAUUCAUACCAGUCUAUCCAUCACACUAUUACCAUCAGACCUGAUACAGAACAUCAAAAGGUACCUGAAGCAUGAGAUUGUCGCAUAUAUCAGCAAUCUUAUCGAAGGACUUGGAAGCCAAUGCUUCAUUCAGAACACUAAGAUCCAUCUCUUCUUAUCUUCUGCUUUUUACUCUUUCGAUUUUCCUCUCUCCUACUAUUACUCUGUUAAAUCGUUUUCUUUGGGAGACGGUUUUUUUUCUUUUUUUUUUGCUUUUUUUCCCUUGUCUAGCCCAAUUUCAUGGACCGAAAAAUUAAAGCCCAUUUAAAUGGGCGGCGUCUUAAAAAACAGCUUCUACGAUUUUAAGUUUUCAUUUAACAUAAGGAUCCAACCUUAAUUCUUUAUAAGCCCAUUCUUUGUGCACUCGAGACGUGGCAUCCAUGUUUUUGUCUAAUUUCAAACUUAGUUCGAAACAAUCUGAAUUGAAUGUCCAAUUGUGACAUAAAAUUCAUGUUUUGCCUAAUUCGAACCGAUCCAAAUUUCUAUUUUAAAACUAUAUCAGGAAUUUCCUACUUCUAAUUGACACGACCCAAAUUUCUAUUGUAGUCUGUUGCCCAAACUUUCCCGUGCCCAAGUUUAGAAAUUAUUACAAAUACCCUUAAUUUGUUUUGAUAAUUAAAAAUAACAAUCCAUAAUUUGUUUGGAUAAUUAAAAUUAAAAAUAAAAAAAAAGCAUACUAUAGAUGUCUAAUUUUAAUUAAUUAUUUUUUUAAGUAUUAUUUUACAAAACGAGAACAAAUAUAGAAUAAUUGUGUCACAUGAAAAAAUAAAAUUAAUUCAAAACAAGUGACAAGUUCACAAGUUAUUUUCAUACUUAAAUAUUUUAAAAAGUUUGAUCUAGUGGCUUAGAAAUUGAAGUUGUUAAGAAGACGUUUUCUUAACCAUGCUUUAUCUUUUCCUUCUUUCUUAAUGUAUAAGUGUCACAUUGUUUAGUAUCACUACUUUACUACUCCAAACUUAUGUCCAUUAUCCAAUUACGUAUUCUUUCCAUAUCAUCAAAUAAGUUGUCCUUUAACGUGCUCUUCUUAUAAACUAUUCUUCCCAUAGUGAAUAUACUCUUCCCAUAACAAAAUCGUUUUUCCAUGCAAAACUUGUUUUCUUAAAAAUAUUAUCCAAUUACGUGCUCUUUUUAUAAUGUUAAUGAUCGAUAAACCGUUAUUUACAGUGCUCUUCUCAUAGGUCAUCCUUCACAUAGUGGACAUGCUUUUUCCAUAACAAGCACAUUCUUCCAUACAAAACAUGUUCUUUUAAAAUUACUCUAUUUUCUUCUAAGAAAACACUACUGUUUAAUAUAAAUAUGAGAUUUUAACAAUUAAACAAAAAAUCAGAAAAAUAUCAAUGAUUACUCUCAAAACUUUCUCUAAACUCUUUCCAAUAUCCCCUUUACUCAAUUCUUUCUAUCUAUUGCGUUCCAUCACCCAAAACACUUAAAUUUCAAAAACUGUUCCAAUCUUCUUUUCUGCCACCUCUAGUGAAUUUCAUUUUACUUAUUCAAAACGUACUCUCCCCUUACCAAAGAAACCCUCUACAAAUAACAUUUUGAAUUUUGAUUGAUUACAAAUUUUACUCCAAAGUUAACUUAAUAGUUACUAGCCCUCCAAUGCGAAGGUCAAAUUCCCUAGCAUAUAUACAAAAAAAGAUAACAUUCCAGUUGGUGGGGAAAUUUCUAUAUUUGACUAUUUUUCUAUAUUUUCCCUGUAAAGUAGAGUAGUUUGUCAAAAUGAUUACACCGCACAUGCAAGUCUGUAACAUUAACUCUGCAAUUAGCUUCCUCACAUGCGUCUUAGAAGUACAUUUUUGCCCAAAAAUUAUAUUCUAGGAACAGCUGUGAAGAAUAUAACCAUAAAGAGGUCUCCAAUACAUUGAUACAAGCAAACAAGGAGGGCAUCAUAAACAUUCUGCGGCGGGCAGCUAGUCUUGGCAAGCAUGAAAUUUGAACAUGAAUGAAGCAUACGAUAGUGCAGCAUCUGGAUAUUGUAAUGCCUGCAAAAAUUUAAGCAGCAACCUUAGCAGAACUUCAUUACAAACCACCAUUUUUUGCAUGGCGGAUAUUGUUUCUUUCUGCAUUAACCAUAGGAAAUUUCAACGGCAUCUAUUUAUAGUAUUAUGAUUUUUUAUAUUUAUACACUAUGUACAAAUUUGUGUAUGAUUUAGAAUUGGGAAGAAACUUCGCAUCAUAGACGAGACAAAUAUAAUGUUAGACUUGAUACUUUAGAGGGGUUAAAUCUCUAAAGUUGGUGCUCUUUCCCUUUCCAUAGCACAACCCAGAACAAGAAAUUUUCCCCAUCGCAUUAGCAGCUGCUAAAAUGAGCACAGAUAUUAUAGCAGCAUCAUAUGCAGAAAUGACUGCCAGAUUAUGACCUUUACAUGUGGGAUCAAAAGUGAGUAGAAAUGUGCACUAAAUUGUCCCAAACCAAAUCCACAAAUGACACAGGCAAAAAUAGUCUGUGCAUAUUAAAGUUUUGAAUCCACACAAGUCAUAUGAGUGUAAUUCCCACAAGCAACUAGGAUUUGCCAUGGAUUUGAACAUCUGUGAUUUGUAUAUUGAUCAGUUUGUAAACAUACAAUGUGAGCAUCCAUAAGCACAUAUAUGUUUAGAGAAAAAGAUCAGGAGUAAUAAAUGAAAACCAAAAACAAAAUUAAAUUCAUAUACACAAAUACAUAGCCUUUGCAUAUUUAUAUAUGCAUAACUAUGUCUAUGUGCAUUACUACCUAAUAAAGGUUAAGGAUAUGUGAGGGGAAAAACACUUACAGUGCAAAAAGUCAGUGCUUCUUCAGGAAUCCAAAAGAGUUUUUGGUGUCAUGCUUCAAUACAGCCUACCAGUGCACUCUGAAGAACCACAAUAGCAAAAUUUCUUCUUUAUGUUACCAUUCUCAUCACGAACCUGAUCUAUCAUAUAAUUGUAAUGGUAUGUCAACUCCUGCAAGGGAGGAAUAUUUUCAGCAGCAAAGAGCAUUAUAUGUGGGAUUCUCCUGUCAUCGUGAUCAUAAAGGACAUUUUGUGCAUACAAAUUAGGUGAACAACUAUGGUUUAUGAAUCUCCCUACAUUGCCAUGCUGUGCUGCAUCGAUGGUAAAACCACUGUCUUGCACAACUUGGCAAACACUUGAAUGCACAUCAGGCAUUAGGGUUGAAAGACCAUCCCACAGAGAACUUUCACUGUAGUUGUUUCCAAUAUCAAACAGAUACUCAUCAUUCCCUGUUCUUUCUUCAGCUUCUCUAUCUUCGAGGAGCUCUCCAGCAUACUCACAGAUGAAACUUCCGGAAGGGAUAGAAUUUAGGGAUCUAACACCCCAGCCUCUCGAUUCUGUUUUAAAGAUUUCAAGCUGAAAUUUUAUGCCACGCUGGCUCACUCUAUUAUAGCAAGAAGCAGGACACUUGCAAGUAGGACCACAUUCAUAGACAAGGCGCUUUGCUUCAACAAUGGCCCCAUUAUGGUUAUAUGGGAUCUCUCCUCCAUUCUUCAUUGCACAGGAACAUUUCCCAGAUUCUGAACAUCCAUCAAUACAAUCACAACCUUUGGGAGGAAUAGGGUGGCACCAGUCAGGAUAGAUCAUGUGAGGUACAUACACAAAUGGUGGAGGUUUUUCACUAUCUAUGGUGUUUAUAGCACAAAUGGGGAUUACCUCCUUCCCUUGUGAGAUAUCAUGUGCACACAGCCCUUCCCACACUUUAGAUUUAUUAGAUUUUUUUACAACUUUCCAAGCAAGCUCUGGUUGACCAGGAAUUCUGACCAGCUUAAAUUUGUAGACAAGCUUACCAUGUGGUCCUGAUUCUUGCUUACACUCCUCCACCAAAUAGAGGCCAUCAUAAACAUAUGUUUUACCCCUACCUUCUAACAAAUCAGAAGACCUUGUCUCACCGCGAAUAACCCUCACUGGAUUCUUAACAAAUAUGCUAUUUGCCAAAGCAAGGUUUCCUCUUUCAAGUUUCUGGUCUUCCGGUUGCUUACCUUUCUGCAUAACAUUCCCUCCCUGACCCAUGUAAGUCAAGAUAUCUGAGUUAUCCAAGUCAUUGUCAUAGCCCCCUGAUGCUAUAACACUAGUAGCAAUGAUCCUAUCACCUUGCUUUACGUAAUCUAUACCACCCUGACUUUGGCGAUGAAGGCCAACAAUAUUGAGCUCCACAAAAUAAUGAAACUCAUCACCAACUUCAACACCUGGUACAGGUCCAAUGAUCUGUUUGCCUGUGUUAAUGUAUUUCCCUUUCUCUUUGAGAAUCUUUGCAGCUUGGAUAUCCACCCUCUUAAAGGUCUUUCCUUCUCCAUUCAACUUUGAUUCUUCUUCCUGUAAAAGCUUCCGACAAAUGGCUUGGAAUAGGCGUAAUGUCUCUCUCACUUUGUUCCGAGUAGUAAUUGCAUCAUUAUCAUGACACACACUACUUGGACAAGAAGGAGGAAGACUCACAUCAUAACUGUAUGAUCUCAGAGCAAAAUUAUCAUCUGUGUAUAGUCCAUCCUGUUGGAUUGAUUCUUCCUUGUCCCUGAUAACCACUUGACCAAGACCUUUAUAAGGCCUUGUGGGAGAAGAAUUCUUCUUAAUACAUGUUUCUUCAGGGCUCUCUGCUUCAUUCUUAUUUGCUACUAAAGCAUGGUUUGCCCUUGGUAGCAAUAUGAAAUUGUUCUUUCUUUUUCUUUUAAAUGAAACACCCCCCAGGUCACGUUUGCAGGUCACUUUCCCUUGUGGCAGAGGACAAGUUGAUGAAGCCAUGAGGCCUUGCACAAUUGACCCAUCCAAUAAAACUUCUUGACUCCCACAGUCCUCCUCCAGCAAUUGAUCCUCAAAGGCAGGUGAAUCAGAAAGCUUUGUCUCAAAACUCUUGUCCUCAGCAUAGAUUACAAUAUCAUGUAUUGGAUUUUCCUCCAAACCUCUAACAUAUCCAUCACUUGUCUCACUAACUUGCUUGGACUUGCUAUCAAAUUCAUUUGGAUAAGUUUCGCAAGGAGACUUGAUGCUCUUUUCUCUCAUAUCUUCCUUGUCCUCAUCCAUAUCAUUCCUGGAUGAAGCUUCAUAAGCACAUAGCUUCCUCAUUUUUUCAGAAGCCAGCUCUUCAGGUUUAGAUUGAAUUUCUUCUGCAGAGAGUGUAGGAGCACUACCUUCUAUUUUACCUUCUAGAGCAUUGACAUCCUGAACAUCCUCUAUCACUUGUUUCACAUCAGUACAUAUAGUCUUCUCUGAGGGCUUUUCCUCAUUUACAAACUUCUCUAGAUUGAAACCUUUGUCCUUUAGAGAGGUAAGCCAUUUCAUGCGCUCCUCCUCGCUAAGAGGUGGAGCAUUUCUUCCACAAAAUGGAGGGAAGUUUCUCACAACAGUGACUCCUCUACGAGGACGAUAAUUUCUUGCCGAAGUCUUCUCCAAACUGCUCUCACCAGGGUGGGAUUUCACCGCUUGCUCACUUGGUCUAUCGAUUGGUGCAGCCAACCUUCCACACCCUGGUGGAAAAUUCCGAACAACAGAAACUUUACGCUGCUUAUACUUGGGUGCAGGGGCAAAGUGACCAUUUUCAGUUGACACUCUUCCCAGCCUUCCCUCAGAAUGACUACAACUUGCCACUUUUAAUGUCUCUUUAUGCAGCAUAUUAUCGGAAACGCCCAUUUCAACUCAUAUAUUACAAGUUGCACGAAAAGCAACCUAAAAACCAACAUAAAAUAUUAUUAGACUGCAAUUAGCUCAAAGAUUAAACAAUAAUUAACCUCAUUCUCUAUCUCUAACCAUGAAUAAAAGUAAAAACAGAAAACAAUUAAAACGAAUCCCGUGGUCAUGAGACUUUAGUUUCUAACAACAGCAAAAGACUGUAUCAACAAUCAAAUCAAGCCAUGAAAUAACCUAAAACUAUGCCCCAAUAUUGAAGAACAAGCCAAUUGAAAACGAGGGGAUUAAAAGAUAAGCAAAUAGUAUAUCUCAAAUGGAUGAAAAAAUCAAACUCCCUUUUCAAUCAAAUAGCAACAAAAAAAGAAGGAAAAAUGAAUCAAUGGAUUAAAAAAAUAAUGCGAUUCAUAUAUGUAGUUUCCCGUAAACUCUAAAGCACCUAAUGACAAUAAUCAAGUUUUCUUUAAAAUAUAUCGAAUUUUCUGCUGAACUUUUCUUCGAAACCAAACAGGACUAGAAACACAAACUCGAUAUCCACCAAAACGGGAAGAAUAAUUCAAAAUUAAGAGGGGAAAGAGAAAAAUGGUUGCGUUACCAUGCACAGAAAAUUGCUAAAAUAAAGGCGGAAAAAUAAGUGAUCGAAGAAAUGUUGACCAUCUAUUAUGGAUUUGAAGUGAUCAAAAGCUAAUUAAACAGACGAGAUUUCAACAAGAAUAAAAAUUCACCCGAAAAUCUUCGAGGAGUAGAACAUGCACGAGAAGGCGGAAGAGCAUCGAAAUGAGGAAAGAAAACGACGGUUACUAAUGAAGAAUGAGCGGCAUUAGACUGAAAUCAACGGUGAAGAUCGUCUAAAGUUUUCGAUAGGAAGCUGGAUCGUAAAAAUUGAUGAUUUUUAGCUCGUAGUGGAGAAGGAAAUGUGUGCACUUUACCGUUUCGAUUUGUCUCCUUUACGAGAUGAUUGCCGGAGUGAAGAAAAACCCGACGCUUCGAGUGCCGCAGUAGAAACGGCGUCGUUAUGCCAAAUGACAGGUGGUAAAAUAUAAGGGUAAAAUACAUUUUUUCUAAUUUUUAUUAAUAAUUACACGUAAACUCAUUAGGAUUCAAAAUUGACAAUUUGAAUAGCAUCAAUGGUAAAUAUGAAAUAUCUAAAUUGUCUAUUGCACAAAAAAAUAAAUACUAUAGUGUGUCAAUACCUAUUUGAAAAAUUUUAUCCAACAGAAAAAAUGUCAAGUUCUCAUAACAAAUUUUGAAAUUCAAAACUUAGAUCAAACAUAGAUUUAUGGUUUCUAAACCCAUAUAUAAAUAAAUAAAUAAAUCAACUCAACGACUCAACUUUCAUUUUCUCUUCCACCUUUCGACUUCACUUUGAAUCACCUAGCAAAAAUCAAACAUAGGUUCAUAGUUUCUCUUCACAAGUCAUUUAUGAGUUGAAGUGCCAAAAAUCAACAAUAAAUCUAGUGCAUUUCAACAAUAAAAUCAGGAUUUUGAAAGAGUUUUAGCUUCUAAUAGGUUUAAGGAUGAAAAAAAGGGUAAAAUUAUCCUUUGCCACAUCAUUACCAUAACCUUUAAGGUUUUGAUUAUAACUUUAUACGAGUCUAUUAGAAUUUGAAAUGGACGGUCUAUCUUAAAAGAAUAUUUUUUACUAGAUACAUAAGUCCUAUCAUUUGUCAAUUGUUAAUAUUUUCAUUAGUUUGAUGACGUGGUAAUAUUUUUUAGAUAAUUUUAUCUUUUAUUAAUUUUUCAAAUUAUCAUUACAUAAAAUACAAUUUCUUAAUUUUUACAAUUUAUUUGCCUCUCUGUCCAAGCAUCCUCUUUCCUUCUCUCACUAAAAUUUCUCCACUGUAAACAACAACAACGGCAAACAACAUGACAAGCUUUGAGUGAACGUUUCCCAACCAAAUCUGACCACGAGAACAACAGAUUAGAUGCUACCCAACCAAAUCAAACCUGCGUGAACAUUAGAUCUGUCACUUCCUUACUAGAUUUGAUCGCGAGACCAUUAGAUUUAGCAUUCCCACAACGUCAAUGAGCACAAGAUUGCAUUAGAAGGGCGCAACUUGGUGCUCUAGCGAUUAGCGUAAAGAGGCACUGUUUACCGCUUUGCAAGAAAAGAAAAUAGUGAAAAUAGUGGAGAAAGAAUAAAAGUAUAUGAGACAUUUCACAUUUGCCUGUUAAUGCCGUUUACGCAUUUGAGACGAACUGUUUAUUUUGGAUACUAAUUGACUCAUGUGAAAUUAUGGUCACAACUUAAAAAUUAAGGUAUUUUACCCUUAAUGGAAACACUAACAGUUAACUAACGACAAAAUAGGGUCACCCCUUGAGUUAAGCCACCCAAGCAAGGGCUUUAGGGUCCCAAUUUGAAGAGGUCUUAUAAAUUUAUAAUAUAAUUAAUUAUAUUAAAAAUAUAUAAAAAUAAUAAAUAAUAAAAUUACCUAUUUUCUCAUUUUCUUAAUUAUGUGUUUAAUAAAUCUCAAUUUUCUAUUACUUUCUAAUUUCUAUAAUACUAUAUUAUUUCCAAUCAACUAACGGUCAUAUAUAUUUAAUCAUCUCUAACAACUAUUUUUUUCUUACUUUUUUCUGUUAUUUUCAAUUAACAUAUUUAAUGAUUUUUAACAAUUUUUUUCUUAUAUAUAAAACCAAUUAUUUUUUUUUCAAUGUAUAAUACCUACUUUUGAAUUUUUCUUGUCUCAUUUGCUCUUUUUUCCUUCUUCCUUUAACUUUAGUUUUCUUCCAAAGAAUACACAAGAAAUCUACUAUGUUAUUAUCUUCAUAAAACUAUUAGCCUCGUUUGUGGUUUGCAAUAAGCAUUCAACAAUUAGGCACUAUUAUUUUAAUAUUUACAAUUUUUUUUUACUUUAACUUAGAAUUUAUAUUAUAUUGUUAUAUUAUCUUUACUUUAUGUAAUAGUUGAUUUAUUUGAAUUAAAAAUUUUGAUUUUUUAUUUUGUAUUAGCCAUUUAAAAUAUAUACAAAUUUUGCAACUCAAAAAGUUAUAAUAAUAAAAUUUUAAUAAUUUUUUUUAAUUUCAAUAAAAAAAUACCUCAUUAAAUAUUUCGCUUUAGGCUUUUGAACUUAUUGAGCUGCCCCUGCAACAAAAGUUAUGCGUCUAACAAAAAAAAUUCUUUUGGAGUAAAAUGUCUAUUUCGAAUACUAAUAGAGAUGCGUGAAAUUAUGAGCAAAACUUAAAAAAAUAAAAGUGUUUUACCCAAAUAUAAAACCCAUUUUCAUAGACUUUUAAAUUUUUAAGUUGAUAAAUGUUGAAUAAAAAAUAUUUUUAUUAUCAUUUAAUUAAAUUAGAUUAUGAUAUUUGUCUAAGCCCUAUAACUCAACAAUUCAACUUAAGACGAGUGGCCAUCAAUCUUUUUUUUUUAGAUACGAUUGAUCACCAAAGUAAAUUUGUCACAAUCCGGAACUCUCAUCGAGCCAUUGACAACCGUCGCGACGUCCCGAUAGGCACUCAUUACCCCAAAUGUCGAUUGGAACCCCACAAGGCUUAGCAUCAGCUUUCGCAUAUCCCUAGUGAGCGACAAUUAUUAAAUCCCGCAUUUCAAAAAAAAUAAUAAGUCAUUUCCAAAUCAAGAUAAUAAAAUAUUAUUUUUUUGCUCAUAUGGGCAUUUUUGUCAUUUUUCUUCAAAAAUAUCGAAACCCGUCAAAAACAUUGUGUGUGGGUGAAAAACACAUGUUUCAUAAUUAAAAGUAAAUUUAGAUGUCUAAAAUAAUUAUUUGAAAUGAAAUUAUAAUUAUUUGAAUAAAAUAAUAAUAUUCAAUGAAAUAUUCUAUUUCUAAAUACAAAACAAUAUUUAUAGAGAAAUUCGUAAUUUAAUUUCUGUAGUGUAAAAGUUAAAUAUAUUCAUACGUACUUUAAAGCAGAUAACUGAAAUAUAAAAUUAUUUUUACAGUGACACGUGGGCCUCUAACUAACCAAUAAGGUGCGAGUCUGUGAACCUACAAUUUUGUCGAUGCAAGGCUAACUAAAGUCCUUGAUGCGAUCGGCUAUCUACAGGCUAUCCCGAGCUUGAAAUGUGAGAAAUUGAGAGUCGUGAGAUUAUAAAAUCCCAGUGAGUAAACAAAUACCAUAUAAACCAUCUAAAAUCGAGUAAAUAAAGACAAGUAAGAUAUUCCAUUUCAGUAUAUUUUUCAUAACAUCAAUAAUCAAUUUACUCAAAUAAUCAACUUGGCUUAUGUAAUUCACAAAACUUGGCUUCUGCCAAAAUCAUUCCCAGGGAUGCCUUGGCCUAGGCAUCUGACUGAGACCACCAAGGCUGUUGAAUGUCUUUACAUCCAAAAUUCUAGCCAUGCCUUUGCGUUGGCUAAGUCUCACUCUCACGCGAUGGUCCACGUGAAGUGCACUCAAAUCUUUACCUCUAGAGAAACCCUACACACGACUCUCUAAUUGAGCUAAGGUAUAUCUGAUUCUGUGCCCCUUCUUUUAGGCUGAUCCACAAAACCUCCACUACAGGGAUUAUGAAUUAUUUUAUCUACCACAUGAUUUAUAAAAUCAUUUUCUACAUGACAUGACAAUUUAUCGAAAUCUAGCCUCUCAAGGCUAAAUACAUAGUAUAUAUAAUUUUGAUACAAACACAGACUUUGUCAUUCAUGCUCACAUAUUGCUAUAAGCCAUAUAAUUUAAAACACAAUUUAUAACACAAGCGGGCAGUCUCUAAUUACUCUACUUUCAAAAUCAGUAUUCAAUUUUUCAGAAAAUUUAUAAAAUCAUUUUAUAAAAUCACAAUUUUUCUUGAAACAUAACAAUUUACCAUUUAAAUCCAUUUUUUAUAAAAUCACACAAUUGAAUAAAACUACUCUAGAUAAUUAAGACGAUAAUAAGUUUACUCACAGUUCUAGAAGUCAAUGUACUCCUAAUCCCAAUCUUCGAGCACAAUCUUUGUACUUUUACCAGUUUAAUAUGCUCACCACAUAUCCACAAUAUACAAUACAUAAUUCACCACAUUAAUGCUUGACCAUUAUAAAUCAAUUCAGGCUCGGUGUAUAUGCAUGAUAUGAUAUGCAACUUAUCCGACUACCACUUAAAUGCGGUGCUGAUCUAAUUUGGCCUAUUACCCGAUUAAAUGACAAUUGUGUCUGAUUUGGCUCUAAAUUGUUCCAUUUCAUUUCUAAUACCUCAAUUUACCAAACAUUAUUCAAAUAACACCAAUUUUAGCAUCAAAACCCUCCCAUUUCUUCAUGGAAAAAUUCGACCAUCAUAGUGCACUAACACCAUGAUUUUUCCUAUUAAAUUUUCUCACAAUUAUUCAUCAUUUUCUAAGCCAUUUCUCUUAAAAUAAUAACAAUCCAUCACCCACACACAUCAAGAAAGAUUUGGCCAUGAAGAUUCAUGAGGAAAAUGGAUUCUUCUCUUGUUGUUUUGCUUCUAAAUAUGCUAAACUAACUAAAAACACUAACAUAUCUUAAAAUCAAUUCAAUCCAACAUCUUUCUCUCUC